AACGAACGCUGGCGGCAUGCCUAACACAUGCAAGUCGAACGAGACCUUCGGGUCUAGUGGCGCACGGGUGCGUCACGCGUGGGAACCUGCCCUUAGGUUCGGAAUACCUCCCCGAAAGGGGUGCUAAUACCGGAUAAUGUCUUCGGACCAAAGAUUUAUCGCCUUUGGAUGGGCCCGCGUUGGAUUAGCUAGUUGGUAGGGUAAAAGCCUACCAAGGCGGCGCUCCAUAGCUGGUAUGAGAGGAUGGUCAGCCACACUGGGACUGAGACACGGCCCAGACUCCGAAGGGAGGGAGCAAGGGGGAAUAUUGGACAAUGGGCGAAAGCCGGAUCCAGCAAGGCCGCGAGAGUGAUGAAGGCCGUAGGGUUGUAAAGCUCUUUUACCCGGGAUGAUAAUGACAGUACCGGAGGAAUAAGCUCCGGCUAACUCCGU
RNAcentral lists this ribosomal RNA (432 nucleotides) under uncultured bacterium. RNAcentral describes it as "partial 16S ribosomal RNA". It matches the Rfam family "Bacterial small subunit ribosomal RNA", at positions 29 to 506 of the family's 1533-position model. The record is from RNAcentral.